AUUCAUUCUGUUUUGUGUGACAUUUACACACAAAACGACGAAGCCUAGGAUUAAUUGGAAGGACGGCAUUAUCUCCAUCAUCCAGAGCGGUCCAAAGGUGCUUCCUGAAUGUUGAACGCCCAACGUUGGGAACACCCACCCCGACACGGUCUCCUGCCUCGAGAGCUCAGCCGGGCAUGUGUUACAAGAGAUUUGCUUGCCAUACAAGUGCAUAAUUAUUUAAAUACAAGAACUUGAUUUCCGGGAAGAUCAAUAUACAUACAUUGCUUUGGUGAAAGAG
Rhagoletis pomonella (apple maggot) is the source of this 280-nucleotide long non-coding RNA. RefSeq lists it as uncharacterized. The transcript is spliced from 2 exons. NCBI's taxonomy places the organism in Eukaryota, Metazoa, Arthropoda, Insecta, Diptera, Tephritidae. The record is from RefSeq and is a predicted model, not a curated record.